Molecule: ribosomal RNA, 488 nt
Filed under: uncultured bacterium
Lineage: Bacteria
Description: partial 16S ribosomal RNA
Rfam family: Bacterial small subunit ribosomal RNA
Source: RNAcentral
GAUGAACGCUGGCGGCGUGCUUAACACAUGCAAGUCGAACGGAAAGGCCCUGCUUUUGGGGGGUUCUCGAGUGGCGAACGGGUGAGUGACACGUGUGUAACCUGCCCCUGACUUUGGGAUAACUUCAGGAAACAGGGGCUAAUACCGCAUAGGAGCUCCUGCUGCACAGGGGGGGUUGGAAAGUUUCGGCGUUUGGGGAUGUACUCGCGGCUUAUCAGCUAGUUGGUGGGGUAGUGGCUUACCUAGGCGAUUACAGGUAGCCGGCCUGAGAGGGUGAUCGGCCACCCUGGAGGUGAGCCGGCGUCCAUGCGCCUACGGGACGGACCAGACUGCAACAUGACGCAACGGGCGGAAGUCUUACGCAGCGAGGGGGCGUGUGUGAAGAAGGCCCCCCGUGCGUGAUGACCGGCUACGGGUUAUGAACCGAUUUCGCCUGUGACGAAGCGUGAGUGACGGUACUGGGUAAAGAAGCACCGGCUAACUACGUG